ACGUCUGCCCGGUAUUUCGCUGAUGAACUAACGCUUAGACGCCUUGCCAAUGUAUUUUACAGCGGCAAAAAUGCAUAGGCGACGUUGGAAAGACUGGUGUGCCGUCUGGGUAUGUUGGUUUUCAGUGCUGGGCAGUAGCGAAGCGACUAGUUUAAUUACAUUCUCUAGUAGCUUGGUCGUAGCGUCACUACUAUGUAUCGAGUAGCUAACAUCCCUGUAGUAAUGCUAUUUUUCCUCAAGUAGCGACGUUGUCUACAAAAGCUACAAUUUGUCCCCCAUCGAUUUUACUCAAUGAUUUUUGUUUUACUUUCUCUAUCCUGAAACCUAGGCAGUCACACAGGGGUUCCAAGACCCACCGGCGUAAAAUCAAGUCAAAGGCUGCUGUCUCAUAAUAUGGCGAAGACGAGUCACCUGAAGGCCUAACUCGCCAUAGAAGACUGAAAGAAUUGUCCUGCAGGAUGCUGUGUCCUGCAAUCCUGUGUGCUGUGCUACAGACGCAUGUGGAGGUCAACCCAAAAUGGGCACAGUCUCACCGCAGAAGAGUGAAAGAGGAUCCUGGCAGGGAGACGGUAGUGUCCUGCAGAAUGGUGAUGGGCCAAUCUUACAAGAGACCACAGAAAACUGAUAUAGUGAACUAUAGAAACAACAGUGCCUGCUGCAGUAUAAUGAGGACACCCUGAGCAGAGAGCUCCAAUAGACCCAGGUCCAGUGUCUUGGCAGGGUGAAAUGGCACUGAUAUGGUGUCCUGCAGGAUGCUGUGUCCUGCAAUCCUGUGUGCUGUGCUACAAACGCGUGUGGAGGUCAACCCAAAAU
Molecule: long non-coding RNA, 813 nt
Organism: Engraulis encrasicolus (European anchovy)
Lineage: Eukaryota; Metazoa; Chordata; Actinopteri; Clupeiformes; Engraulidae
Exons: 6
Source: RefSeq, a predicted model, not a curated record